UAUCGGAUUGAUACUAAGCCAUGCGAGUCAUUGCAGUAAUGCAAGGCAGACGGCUCAGUAACGCGUAGUCAACCUACCCUAUGGACGGGAAUAACCUCGGGAAACUGAGUAUAAUGCCCGAUAGAACACUAUUCCUGGAAUGGUUUGUGUUCCAAAUGAUUUAUCGCCGUGGGAUGGGACUGCGGCCUAUCAGUUUGUUGGUGAGGUAAUGGCCCACCAAGACUAUUACAGGUACGGGCUCUGAGAGGAGUAGCCCGGGGAUGGGUACUGAGACACGAACCCAGGCCCUAUGGGGCGCAGCAGGCGAGAAAACUUUGCAAUGUGCGAAAGCACGACAAGGUUAAUCCGAGUGGUUUGUGCUAAACGAACCUUUUGACAGUCCUAGAAACACUGUUGAAUAAGGGGUGGGCAAGUUCUGGUGUCAGCCGCCGCGGUAAAACCAGCACCUCAAGUGGUCAGGAUGAUUAUUGGGCCUAAAGCAUCCGUAGCCGGCUCUGUAAGUUUUCGGUUAAAUCUGUACGCUCAACGUACAGGCUGCCGGGAAUACUGCAGAGCUAGGGAGUGGGAGAGGUAGACGGUACUCGGUAGGAAGGGGUAAAAUCCUUUGAUCUAUUGAUGACCACCUGUGGCGAAGGCGGUCUACCAGAACACGUCCGACGGUGAGGGAUGAAAGCUGGGGGAGCAAACCGGAUUAGAUACCCGGGUAGUCCCAGCUGUAAACUAUGCAAACUCAGUGAUGCAUUGGCUUGUGGCCAAUGCAGUGCUGCAGGGAAGCCGUUAAGUUUGCCGCCUGGGAAGUACGUACGCAAGUAUGAAACUUAAAGGAGUUGGCGGGGGAGCACCACAAGGGGUGAAGCCUGCGGUUCAAUUGGAUUC
RNAcentral lists this ribosomal RNA (876 nucleotides) under uncultured archaeon. Its description in RNAcentral is "bacterial SSU rRNA". It matches the Rfam family "Archaeal small subunit ribosomal RNA", at positions 31 to 913 of the family's 1478-position model. The record is from RNAcentral.